AAACAGCAGAACACUGAAAUGAUAAAGCUCCAAUAAGCCUCACACCUCAACACCCCAACACAGCCGACACUAUGUGGUGAAAAAAUAGAAAAUUCCGAAGCAUCCAGAAGCAUCCAAACUGCGUGAUAUCAGGCUUUUAUUUGACUGGCCUACCCCGCGAGUUUCCCUAAGAUGGUGCUGGCAGAGCUGAGUGAGGAUGAGGCCCAUACGGCCAGG
This is a non-coding RNA of Pelobates cultripes (western spadefoot toad), 216 nucleotides long. Lineage: Eukaryota; Metazoa; Chordata; Amphibia; Anura; Pelobatidae. The record is from the annotation of a GenBank genome assembly.